UGCAUCACGACCCCGUGUUGAAUCAUGGGGACCAUUAUCCUCUCCUCCUCAUCCUGUUCUCCUCUCAUCCUCCUCUCCACGACCUCAUCCUCCUCUAAAUGCCGCCUCUUUCCUCCUAAUGCCUAACCUCCUACUCUCUUCUCUCUUUCCCUUUCUUGCCACUCCACUCACUCCUUGUACCUUCCACACUCUUACUCUGUACAUCAAUAAAAUCCAUUUGGCACAUGAUUAUGCUCAGCCACAAAAUGGGAUGGAGGUGCUAUUUUUAGCCGGCUAAGGGAGGAGAGGGAGGGCAUGGGAGCGAGAGAGAGAAAGGGGGUGGGAUAAACCGUUCUUUUCGUUCUGUAGCUGUAUGUUGGUCGGAGGCACAGAGCUCUGGGGUAGCUUGGCUAGAGACAGCGAGAGGAUUGAGAGGCAACGAAAACGAGCAAACGACACCACCAGAAACACAAAUAAGACACAGGCAUGCGACCCCGCUCCAGACUCCUGGCUAAGAGGUGCCUGCCCACCAUCAGGGAGGGCUAUGAGGAGCUGGUCCAGGACAUGAACCAGGCCAACAGCCGCCACCUCCCUCCCCAUGGUCAGGUACACUCACUGUCUACCCAUGACUACUUCCUGUCCAUCUGCCAGCUCGCCCGACCAACCUUCCCCCAGGGAGAACCUGACUGUGACAUCCUCACGGUGGGCGCUCUGGCCUCCCUGAGGCCUUGCCUGAGGCUGCACAGACUGAGGGACCCUGUGCCACCCUGUCAGCCUCUGAUCUCUAAGGUCAGCCGCCACACACAGUUAGAGCAAGAGGAGAGUCAGAAUGAGUGUAGUGGCCCAGAGAGAGUGGUGGAUGUCAGUUCACGUCAGACCUCCAGUAGGGUUGUCCCCAGUGUCUCUGACCCCUUGGAGUUCCUCUACGGUCACAGGGAAGGACUCCUUUCAGCCGCCUGUCGCGCCCAUGGCUCACAGGGCUGGAUGGGUGAAGGGAGUCAGAGUGCGACCCAGCGUCGACCACAACCCCCGGUACGUGCCAACAGUUUCCCCCGCAUGUGUUCCUCACCCCUGACCCAGCGCAAAAACAGCUGCCGUGAGCUAUGGCUGGUGGACCCCACUGACCAAAAGAAGCCAAACCCUGACCCUGCUCCACCACAGACAUCCUCAUCAGACCAGCAGAAACCUGAUGCCUCCAGCUCAUUCUCAUGGAGGUUCCAGAAUGACCCAGACAGGGCACCUGCAGGUGAGAGGGGGAAGUGCACACGCUACAUGGACAAUCACACAAUGGUAUCACACUGGAUCGCUGACUGUCGCUCGGCCUGGAGAGAAGCAAGAAUCAGGGCGUGCAUGCUUCCUGCCAUCGCAGAGAUGUAAACUUGUGUAGCGUUGUUAAUUCCCACUUUUAAGUAUUGUACAUUAUGGAUCCUUGAUGUACUUAUGUACCGCUUAAUUGGUACAUUUGGACAAUGCAGGUCCAUGUGGUAACAUGUACAAAUUGAGUUUUCAUGCCUGCCCUUUUUGUACAGUAUGUAGUGUAAGACAUAUUGUAGACUAGCGUAUGCCUCACACAUAUUACAGUAAGUGGAAUGUUGACAGUGCUUAGAAGACAUCAGAUUUUGGAAGGAUGAUCACGCGAGACAAGUAUUAGGGAGAGUAAAGAUGUGUGGAAAAGAUGCAGAAUUUGCUAUAAGGAUUAUGCACAAAGACAUAUGACUAAGAAAAAUGACAGAUCAUAAUCUUUACUAUUGAGUGAGUGAUAGCUCACUCCAUUAUUGACAAAUGAUAACUCUGGUCAAAUAAAAACAUUCUACUUUUCAUAAAAAUGGGAAUGGUACAGUUUUAGAAUCAGAACGGAGGAUAAUGUGAUCCUAUAGCUAGUUCAGGCUCCCUGUAGGAGAGCAUUCAAACUCAGAUUAUUCUCAGUGGUUCUGAAAAUGUCUCUUGCGAUUUCCUCUCUCAUGUAUGAUAUGAGUUAUGCAAUGACAAUGUAGAUCUGUGCAAAACUGAUGAGUCUAUUUAAAUCUUCCACUAAGUAAAGCCAUGAUGAAACAGUACAUCAUAUUCACACUGAGUGAAACAGCAUGUGACGUUGUAUAUUACUUUUUGAUUGUGUUUAAUGGUCCUCCAUGACAGUACAAUGAACUCUGUGUCAAAAUAUACAAAUGGAAAGAAAACAGUAUAAUUAACUUGUAAAUGCUUGACAAUACAAUCGUUUGAUCUUGUAUGGUAUGGCUUUUCUAACUCUGUCCAUUUUUGGCUCGUAAUCUAAUAAAAUUAUGUGUUUUACCCUGCCUCUGAGUGUCCAAAACCUAGACCGGUUGCACUAGGAAAUAUAUCCGUAUAGUGCAAGAUAAACAAGUUAUCCAAAACCCUUCUGUGAUGGGGAGAUAAUAAAAUUGAAGUCCUG
Molecule: long non-coding RNA, 2389 nt
Filed under: Salmo salar (Atlantic salmon)
Lineage: Eukaryota; Metazoa; Chordata; Actinopteri; Salmoniformes; Salmonidae
Description: lncRNA (ENSSSAG00000105216.1)
Source: RNAcentral